GACGAACGCUGGCGGCGUGCCUAAUACAUGCAAGUAGAACGCUGAAGGAGGAGCUUGCUUCUCUGGAUGAGUUGCGAACGGGUGAGUAACGCGUAGGUAACCUGCCUGGUAGCGGGGGAUAACUAUUGGAAACGAUAGCUAAUACCGCAUAAUAGCAGUUGUUGCAUGACAACUGUUUGAAAGGUGCAAUUGCACCACUACCAGAUGGACCUGCGUUGUAUUAGCUAGUUGGUGGGGUAACGGCUCACCAAGGCGACGAUACAUAGCCGACCUGAGAGGGUGAUCGGCCACACUGGGACUGAGACACGGCCCAGACUCCUACGGGAGGCAGCAGUAGGGAAUCUUCGGCAAUGGACGGAAGCCUGACCGAGCAACGCCGCGUGAGUGAAGAAGGUUUUCGGAUCGUAAAGCUCUGUUGUAAGAGAAGGACGAGUGUGAGAGUGGAAAGUUCACACUGUGACGGUAUCUUACCAGAAAGGGACGGCUAACUACGUG
This 495-nucleotide ribosomal RNA is filed under the name uncultured bacterium. RNAcentral describes it as "partial 16S ribosomal RNA". It matches the Rfam family "Bacterial small subunit ribosomal RNA", at positions 28 to 507 of the family's 1533-position model. The record is from RNAcentral.